CGGCAGCACGGGAGCUUGCUUCUGGUGGCGAGUGGCGAACGGGUGAGUAAUGUAUCGGAACGUACCCAGUCGUGGGGGAUAACUCUCCGAAAGGAGAGCUAAUACCGCAUACGUCCUGAGGGGGAAAGCGGGGGACCUAAGGGUAACUGAGGGCCUCGCGCGAUUGGAGCGGCCGAUAUCGGAUUAGCUAGUUGGUGGGGUAAAGGCUCACCAAGGCGACGAUCCGUAGCGGGUCUGAGAGGACGACCCGCCACACUGGAACUGAGACACGGUCCAGACUCCUACGGGAGGCAGCAGUGGGGAAUUUUGGACAAUGGGGGCAACCCUGAUCCAGCCAUUCCGCGUGAGUGAAGAAGGCCUUCGGGUUGUAAAGCUCUUUCAGCAGGAGCGAAACGGUCGUUUUUAAUACAGACGGCUAAUGACGGUACCUGCAGAAGAAGCACCGGCUAACUACGUGCCAGCAGCCGCGGUAAUACGUAGGGUGCGAGCGUUAAUCGGAAUUACUGGGCGUAAAGCGUGCGCAGGCGGCGACAUAAGACAGAUGUGAAAUCCCCGGGCUCAACCUGGGAACUGCGUUUGUGACUGUGUUGCUAGAGUGUAGCAGAGGGGGGUGGAAUUCCACGUGUAGCAGUGAAAUGCGUAGAGAUGUGGAGGAACACCGAUGGCGAAGGCAGCCCCCUGGGUUAACACUGACGCUCAUGCACGAAAGCGU
RNAcentral lists this ribosomal RNA (712 nucleotides) under uncultured soil bacterium. RNAcentral describes it as "bacterial SSU rRNA". It matches the Rfam family "Bacterial small subunit ribosomal RNA", at positions 67 to 762 of the family's 1533-position model. The record is from RNAcentral.